AGUUCGGAUUGAAGGCUGAAAUUCGCCUUCAUGAAGCCGGAAUUGCUAGUAAUGGCAGGUCAGCAUACUGCCGUGAAUACGUUCCCGGGCCUUGUACACACCGCCCGUCACACCAUGAGAGUUGGGAAUACCCGAAGCCUGUGAGCUAACGAAAGAGGCAGCAGUCGAAGGUAGAAUCAAUGAUUGGGGUGAAGUCGUAACAAGGUACC
This 209-nucleotide ribosomal RNA is filed under the name uncultured bacterium. RNAcentral's name for it is "partial 16S ribosomal RNA". It matches the Rfam family "Bacterial small subunit ribosomal RNA", at positions 1290 to 1500 of the family's 1533-position model. The record is from RNAcentral.